ACGUGGAAUUAGUAGCAAAUAAAAAUUGUAUCCGAAUAUAGCGAUAUGUUUCGUGAUAUUAAGAACAAAUUUGUUAAAUGUUCGACGAUUAUUCGUGACAAGAAAACCCCCAGAGCAUUCUUACGGGAUAAAAAUCCUCGCAACGCUAAUCUACUACAUGAAAUUUAUUGGACUCCGUCGGAAUCUUACUUUCUGUGGAAAAUCGAAUUGUGUUCUCUGCUGUAAAUAACAUCGAAGUGCAUCCAUUCUACACCAUUAGCAUCACUGAUUACAAAUAGGCAACGCAAAUGUCAAGCACUAGUUUGGAAAAAUGAUGCUGACUGUGUGACAUAAACCCUGAAGCAUGCUUUUGUGAACUACUCGAAUCAAUCUGAAUCAAUUGUUGUCAA
Malaya genurostris is the source of this 389-nucleotide long non-coding RNA. RefSeq lists it as uncharacterized. The record is from RefSeq and is a predicted model, not a curated record. The transcript has 3 exons. Lineage: Eukaryota; Metazoa; Arthropoda; Insecta; Diptera; Culicidae.